GUAGUCAGUUUUUACUCAACCUACACAUGCAAGUCUCCGCACCCCUGUGAGAACGCCCUCUAACCCCUUCAGGGACGAGGAGCUGGUAUCAGGAUCAAUUUUUAGCCCAUGACACCUAGCUUAGCCACACCCACAAGGGAAUUCAGCAGUGAUCAACAUUGACCAUAAGCGAAAGCUUGAUUCAGUCAGAGUAAACAGAGCCGGCAAACCUGGUGCCAGCCGCCGCGGCUAAACCACGAGGGCCCAAACUGACCUCUUUCGGCGUAAAGCGUGAUUAAAGUUACCUCAGACUGUAGUUAAAUUAGAACUUAGCUGUGAUACGCUUUUAUCUAAGAAAUACAAAAACGAAAGUUA
This 354-nucleotide ribosomal RNA is filed under the name Scinax proboscideus (Gran Rio snouted treefrog). Its description in RNAcentral is "partial 12S ribosomal RNA". Lineage: Eukaryota; Metazoa; Chordata; Amphibia; Anura; Hylidae. The record is from RNAcentral.